Microcebus murinus (gray mouse lemur) is the source of this 3032-nucleotide non-coding RNA. The record is from RefSeq and is a predicted model, not a curated record. Lineage: Eukaryota; Metazoa; Chordata; Mammalia; Primates; Cheirogaleidae.
UCAGUGAACCGCUGUCACGGGAAGGGCUGGAGAGAGAUCAAGACUCUUCGGGUGAACCUGGAUUCUGAGCCAUCAGCGAGAGCAGUGAAGAGGGCCUGGAACGUGGGCCUGAGCUGACGUCAUAUCUGGGUGUCCUGUGAGCCCGAGCCCCUUCCUCUGUGACUUCUGGGGCCACAGUCCAGCCCAACAGGACCCAUCGGUGCAGAGAAGAAUCGACAUCACCCGGCACAGAGAAACUGGGGCUGGAGCCAGGCUCGGGGCUCGUGCUCCGUCUCUCUCUGGGUCCAUCUCACAGAGUCUGUUUCUCUCAGUCUACGUCCAUAUGUCUGAGUCUUUUGCUCUUCCCGAUCUCUUUCUACAUUCCUCUUUCUCUCAACAGAAUUGUCACUCUGACCCUCUGUCUCUUUCUCUAUAGCACCCACUGUCCUGGAGAACGGCUCAUCUCUGCCAGUGCUGGAGGGCCAGUCCCUGCGCCUGGUCUGUGGUGUCAACAGCAACUCUCCUGCCAGGCUGAGCUGGACCCGGGAAAGCCUGACCCUGUAUCCCUCACAACCCUCGGGACCUCUUUUGCUGGAGCUGGCUCGAGUGCACCUCAGGGAUGAAGGAGAAUUCACCUGCCGAGCUCAGAUCCCUCUGGGCACCCAGCACGUCUCCCUGUGCCUCUCCCUGCAGCGGAAACCGGGGCCCGUGGCAGAGGUGACUCUGGUGGCCGUCGUGGGAUCUGCUGUGAAGAUCCUGCUUCUCUGCCUCUGCCUCAUCUUCCUCAGAGUGAGGUCCCGCAGGGGGAAGGUGCACUGGGCAGCAGGGGGCACGGAGGAUGCAGACACUGUCACGGGCUAAUUCCUCAGGUGAGUGAUGUGAUGUCUCAGCUCCCACAACCCACUGGACACCUCCUCCGUGAUGGCCUCCAGGAUUGCUCUGAUCAGCAUGGCCAAGUUGAGCUCCCCAUCUCCUCCCCAAGCCCCCUUGUCCUGCUGGGUCCCCCGUUUGGCUGAUGACUGGGUGGCUGAGUCUCUAUGUGCAGAUCCAGGGUGAGGUUCCCCACCUUGACCCCCUUCCCCACACCCCAUGGGUCACUCACUCUUGUCCCUCCUUCUCCUGAGCUCGGCUCAUCCUGAGCACUUUUCUCCACCGGCCCUGGUCAUUCCUGGGGCCUCACUUCUUCCCUGCUCCCUGAGUCCACCCCACCCCUGCCUCCGUCUCUCCCCAGCACAGGCCUCCAGACUGGGCCUCCAGAUAUGUCCUUGUCUGGCCCCGAGCAGUGUGGACGGCCGUGCCUCCCCCAUUGCUGGAGAACGAGGUGCAAACGCCACGGCCGGGACUGGGGGCCUCGCAGGGUCUGUCCCCUGCCGGACUGUCCUCCUAAUCCCUCCCUUCUCUGCGUCUCCCCACGUGUCCCCACAACCCCUAGGUCAAGCCCUCUGUGACUCUGAGGCUUUGCAUGUGCAGUUCCUCCUCCUGAAACGCCCUUCCCUCCCCACCCCUAUCUCUGCCAGCCCUGGUCACCUGCAGGCCCCGUCUCCACUGCCAUCUAGGUAUGUGUGUGUGUGUGUGUGUGUGCGUGAGUCUCGUAUGACACAAACUGGAGGGUGCCGUCCCUCCAUUCACUAACAGAGGUCCUUGGUGGCUGCUGGUGUCCCCUGCGCUGUCCCAGCCCUACUGUGCAUGCAGGGAGUGUCCGCACACGCAGCCUCAGGUCCGUCGUCGGGAGCUGUUGCUCUGCAGACUGGAUGGAAAAGGGUGAAAAUGGAUAAAGAAUGUGAGGCCAUGCUGAGUGGCUACCUGGGUUAGAGAGAAAAUAACUCAGAGAAAGGAGAAUAGAACACACUGGGGACAGUUUCCGUGUGACGGUGUGAGGAGGUGGUGUCUGGGCACAGUGUGAGGGAGGUGAGGAGUCAGGCUCUGCAUGUGAGUCAGGAACAGCGUCGCAGGAGGAGGGAAGAGGGAACAGUAAGCGCAGUGCUCAGAGGCAGCGGCAGGCCGGGUGCUGGGGACUCUCCGGGGCCCAUGUGUGAGAGCAGAGGCGGCAGGAGGAGGAGCAGGGGGAGGACAGGGCUGACACCCAGGAACCUGGAGCCUUUGGGGACAGCAGAGACACGACUGCACUUGCACCAUGACAGGUCCUCGGCUGCCCUGGUCAGGGAGACUGGGAAGGCGCCAUCAGGGGGAGGGACGACUGCAGUAGAGGGGUGGGGCCGGGCUGAGCACGUGCUUUGGGACAUGUGGAAGGUCACGCUCACAAGGUUUAUGAUGGGCAUGGUCAUCAGGGGACUGGAAAACACGGAUGAUCCAGAGUCAUACUCUUAGCUCCUGGAAGGGAGCUGUGUCCACAGGGGCUGCGGAGGGAGGGCUUUGCAGGGCAGGGUCAGUCCUGACAGUCCACCUGGCGUCGGAGUGGGGACACCAGGGAUACAGCUGGACACGCGUGUUGGCAGCUCAGUAGGGGACUCCAGGUGGAGUGUUGUGGGCAUAACAUGGCAACUGACGAGGGAAUGAAGGGGUAACGUGAGCAAGUAAUUCCUCAUAAAUCACAAGCAGCAUUAGUCUAAAUCAGCAAGUGCCCUUGUGCAUAUAUAUGAAAAUGACUGGAAGCAGGGACUUGAUCACAUGCUGGCAAACCCGUGUCCAUGGCAGAAUUAUUCACAAUAGCCAAGAAGUGGAAGUGACCCAAGUUUCCAGUGACAGAUGCAUGGAUAUACAAAAACAUGUCUAACUGAAGACAAAAUACUAUUCUUCCUUUUAGAAAGGACUUUCUGACACAUGCCACCAAAUGGAAGGACCUUGAGGACACCGUACUAAGUGAAAUUCUCAGUCACCAAAAAAACCAAUACUCUGUGAUUCCACUUCCUUGAGUUAAAGUAGAAACAGAAGUAGAGCAGUGGUCACCAGGAAGUAGGGGAUGGGAAGACUUAGGGAACUGUAGUUAAUGGGGUGGAGUUUUGGUUUUGCAAGACAAGAAAGCUCUGGAGAUGUGUUGCACAACAUUGUGAAUAUACUUAUUACCACUGAACUCUGUGCUUAAAAAUUGUUAA